CUUUAGCUCAGUUGGUUAGAGCAUCUGACUCUUAAUCAGAGUGUCCAGGGUUCGAGUCCCUGA
RNAcentral lists this transfer RNA (63 nucleotides) under Bifidobacterium animalis. It matches the Rfam family "tRNA", at positions 7 to 64 of the family's 71-position model. Rfam says of the family: Transfer RNA (tRNA) molecules are approximately 80 nucleotides in length. Lineage: Bacteria; Bacillati; Actinomycetota; Actinomycetes; Bifidobacteriales; Bifidobacteriaceae. The record is from RNAcentral.